UACAGAGGUCCCAAGCGUUGUUCGGAUUCACUGGGCGUAAAGGGUGCGUAGGUGGUUGGGUAAGUUUGAUGGGAAAUCUCCGGGCUUAACCCGGAAACUGCAUUGAAUACUAUCUGGCUAGAGGGUUGGAGGGGGGACUGGAAUACUUGGUGUAGCAGUGAAAUGCGUAGAUAUCAAGUGGAACACCAGUGGCGAAGGCGAGUCCCUGGACAACUCCUGACACUGAGGCACGAAAGCUAGGGGAGCAAACAGG
RNAcentral lists this ribosomal RNA (253 nucleotides) under uncultured bacterium. RNAcentral's name for it is "partial 16S ribosomal RNA". It matches the Rfam family "Bacterial small subunit ribosomal RNA", at positions 524 to 776 of the family's 1533-position model. The record is from RNAcentral.